Molecule: long non-coding RNA, 508 nt
Organism: Zophobas morio
Lineage: Eukaryota; Metazoa; Arthropoda; Insecta; Coleoptera; Tenebrionidae
Exons: 3
Source: RefSeq, a predicted model, not a curated record
UAGUUACCAUUUUAUAUUAGUUAUAAAUCUGUAAACGUGGUGUAAUACCUUUCAAUUUUAUUACUGUCUAGACUCUUAAGUAUAAGUUUUUUGGUUCAUUUAUGCUACCGGUACUUGCUACAACUUAAAUGGGCCAGAAAUAUUACCAAGGGAUGCUAUACUAGGUGGAGGACUGAAAAGACUGUUUACAUAGUGGAAAAUAGUUAGAGCUUAUUAAAGGGACAGCCAAGAAGAAUCAAGUGCAGUUGAUUCAGUGGAACUAUAUAUCUUUACGAUGCUUUAAUACAUGCUUUUUGUCCUUGUCUAAUCCCUGUUGAGAAAACUAAGUUUAAAGAUAAAGCAGGCCUAACAGCGAAAGAGGGGGACGUUAUAAUUUCGUGAAAAUGUGAGAAGAAAGUGGAGUAACUUAAAUUCGAUAAUCACUUAGUGCACUGUCAAAUAAAAGCUGAACAUCAUACUCUCGUCAAACAUCUGAUUGAAGUUUACGAAAAAAAUUUAAAAAAUGUUU